Non-coding RNA from Sturnus vulgaris (Common starling), 586 nucleotides. The record is from RefSeq and is a predicted model, not a curated record. NCBI's taxonomy places the organism in Eukaryota, Metazoa, Chordata, Aves, Passeriformes, Sturnidae.
CUGACUGAGAAAACAGUAGAAGCUGUCAAACUGUAAAUAUAUGUAAUUGUUACAGUGCUUUAAAACUUUCAACUUGGGUUUGCAAACAAUAUACAUAUUUUCCCACUCCUUUUAUUUUUCUAUAUCUUUACAGCAGAAGCGUAAACCUCCUUACAGCCCAACUGUUGCCAAACAAACUUUAACCAACAGAUAACUACUUUGAACAUGGCAGUAACAGACAGUUUUUUUCUCAUCCUAUUGUCCACUCAUCUGGUUCAUAGCUGCCCAUUUUGGCUACUAGAAUCCCAUGGGAAACUUUGUCAAAAAUCUUCCUAAAGUCAAGGUCACCUUCUUGUGGGUUUUGGCCUAUUCAUUCCUUAAACAACCCAUCAUCUCCCCUUCUGAAAUUCCUGGAGCAUUUCUUCCUCACUUACCUCAAGACUUCAGAAUACCAUUGGUGAAACACAUAGAAUUUGUUUUAUUAUUUCCUAUGAAUAAUAUAAUUGCUAAAAAUAAAGCGUAUUAUAUUUGCUAUCACUUUUCUAAGGAUUAUUAUUUUAAGAAUCACAAACUUAACAACAACAACAAAAAAAAGAAAAAUAAAAAA